GAGAGGGCUCUACUGCACCAAGAUCUCCCCACAGGAAGAGUGUGGCACCUCAAGUUGCUAGUCCAUACAAGCAGGUGCUCUUAACGCCUGGAUAUCUGCCUUGGCGUGAAGCAGAAGGGCCCACUUAACCAUGAUCUAUGCCCAAGAAAGGUGGAGUUGCUUAGGCAACUGAACCAGGUCAGGGAAAAUGCCUGCAGCUUUUCCCAGUGUCUU
RNAcentral lists this long non-coding RNA (213 nucleotides) under Homo sapiens (human). Its description in RNAcentral is "HSALNT0298408". Lineage: Eukaryota; Metazoa; Chordata; Mammalia; Primates; Hominidae. The record is from RNAcentral.